RNAcentral lists this ribosomal RNA (307 nucleotides) under uncultured eukaryote. RNAcentral's name for it is "partial 18S ribosomal RNA". It matches the Rfam family "Eukaryotic small subunit ribosomal RNA", at positions 1470 to 1796 of the family's 1831-position model. The record is from RNAcentral.
CCCUUAGACGUUCUGGGCCGCACGCGCGCUACACUGACAAAGGCAACGAGCUACUCUUCACCGAAAGGUGUGGGUAAUCUUUUGAAACUUUGUCGUGCUGGGGAUAGAUCCUUGCAAUUUUUGAUCUUAAACGAGGAAUUCCUAGUAAGCGCAAGUCAUCAACUUGCGUUGAUUACGUCCCUGCCCUUUGUACACACCGCCCGUCGCUACUACCGAUUGAAUGGUUUAGUGAGGCCUUCGGAUCCGCGACUCGUUUGUGGAGAAGUUGGACAAACUCAGUCAUUUAGAGGAAGUAAAAGUCGUANCA